Long non-coding RNA from Anopheles arabiensis, 1114 nucleotides. RefSeq lists it as uncharacterized. The transcript is spliced from 2 exons. Lineage: Eukaryota; Metazoa; Arthropoda; Insecta; Diptera; Culicidae. The record is from RefSeq and is a predicted model, not a curated record.
UUUCAUUUUAUAUUUUUUCUUAAGUCACCGUAGCUCCUAUUGUCUUGGUGUAAAGAUUUUCGCAAUUAUAUGUAGGCUUCAGAGAUUUAUUUUUCCAGCAGUUGAAAAGUCAGUCCUUGCCAAGGCUAUGAGAAUCGUAGAAUGUCUGGAUUUAUUUGAGCUGCUCCUUUCUAAGUAAAUUGUUGAUACAUGUUUACUUGACACUUGGGUCAUCCGCGGUACAUGUAGGGUCAUGCGCAGGCAGUCAUUUUACCUCGUAAAAAUAUUAGGUCUGAAAUGUGCAUUUUCUUUGUUCGUCAGCGAACUAGCGAAUGGCGAACACAUUUAACCAUGCUUUGGUAACUGUUGUCGUCGUGCCAUAGCGGGAAUGCUUGUAUUAUUAGUAUUAUGCUGUAAUUUCAUUUCCUGGUUGUCCUUAUUGAGUGCUCGGUCGUGAGCGAGGAACUCGAUUUUCUUUCAGUGCCGUUUGUUUUUUAACAUCUAGUUCAUUGAAACAAGACUCACAAGGGUCGAACUGUUUGGUGAAUGUAAAAUCGUACAAGAGAACUUAGUGGUAAAUUGCGUUGAAAUUGGGCUGUACAGUAUUUUGGUACUCCUUGUCUGCUGGUGGCAGAUUGUAGAGUAUCUGUGCAUCACGUCAAACGCUAUUGUAUCUGUCACCAGACCGUAACCGUUGUAGAGUUUGAAGAGAGGUAGAGGGACAAAUUUUUGUACGCCAUUUUUCAAACCCGCGCGCUCGCCCGCCUUUCUCUUCUAGAUAUGCUAGUUUUAGUUCGUAACGAAGUAAUUGAAUUACCACGUAAUGUUAUGUUCUGCAGAACCAACCAUAGGAGUGAAGUGAUGAGGAUAUGAUGUGGUGGGACAGAACAGGGGAUUUCAGUUUUGGUUUCUUCAUUCGAGUUUUCAUACAACUAGCUCCUCCUUCAAAGUUGGGCUUGUGCGAAACUGCAGGAUUUUACAGAUGUUAGGUUUUCCGAAACUUAUAAACCACUUCGAAGAAAAAGAAGCGUUGGAGCGUAGGCAGGCAGGCAGUUUUGUACGCAAUGAGCUAUAAUAGAGUGCGUUAAAAAAUCGAAUAAAUCUUAUCAAAACUUUGAUCAUUUUAACAUAAUAA